This 468-nucleotide ribosomal RNA is filed under the name uncultured bacterium. Its description in RNAcentral is "partial 16S ribosomal RNA". It matches the Rfam family "Bacterial small subunit ribosomal RNA", at positions 28 to 507 of the family's 1533-position model. The record is from RNAcentral.
GACGAACGCUGGCGGCGUGCUUAACACAUGCAAGUCGAACGGAAAGGCCCUGCUUUUGUGGGGUGCUCGAGUGGCGAACGGGUGAGUAACACGUGAGUAACCUGCCCUUGACUUUGGGAUAACUUCAGGAAACUGGGGCUAAUACCGGAUAGGAGCUCCUGCUGCAUGGUGGGGGUUGGAAAGUUUCGGCGGUUGGGGAUGGACUCGCGGCUUAUCAGCUUGUUGGUGGGGUAGUGGCUUACCAAGGCUUUGACGGGUAGCCGGCCUGAGAGGGUGACCGGCCACCUUGGGACUGAGAUACGGCCCAGACUCCUACGUGAGGCAGCAGUGGGGAAUAUUGCACAAUGGGCGGAAGCCUGAUGCAGCAACGCCGCGUGCGGGAUGACGGCCUUCGGGUUGUAAACCGCUUUCGCCUGUGACGAAGCGUGAGUGACGGUAAUGGGUAAAGAAGCACCGGCUAACUACGUG